This 209-nucleotide unclassified non-coding RNA is filed under the name Hevea brasiliensis (rubber tree). Lineage: Eukaryota; Viridiplantae; Streptophyta; Magnoliopsida; Malpighiales; Euphorbiaceae. The record is from RNAcentral.
GUUCCACGUUAUCAUAAAUGACAGAAACAUGCCUGAUUUAUAGUUCACUUAUCAAAUUUCUUUCAUCUCAUGCCCCAGAUGCUGCAGCAUACGGGUUGAAGUUGUUGAUGAUGGAGCAUAUUUUUCUUGAUUAAAGCAGUAAAGACAAGAAAAUGACCUUUAAACAAUUUGCAGAAUAAAACUGACCUUUUGCAAUGCCAUUGAUAAUG